RNAcentral lists this long non-coding RNA (511 nucleotides) under Salvia miltiorrhiza (redroot sage). RNAcentral's name for it is "long non-coding RNA (SMIL_LNC004009)". Lineage: Eukaryota; Viridiplantae; Streptophyta; Magnoliopsida; Lamiales; Lamiaceae. The record is from RNAcentral.
GGCUAUCAAGGAACCCCAAUGCAGCACUACCUACUCAAUAACACAAACACUAUCAAGGAGGCUAUCAAGGAACCCCCAAUGCGGAUGCUCUAAUACUCUUAUCCGUAGUAAUGGCUGCUCUAGUGUCGCACGUGCCGAACGGCAUCUCUCACGUGCGCGCCAAUUCAGUGUGCACUGCCUGCGGCUAUUAUAAAUCCAACUGCUACGCCAACUUGGCAGCUCACGCAAUUGCUCCGCGAUUCCUCUCGGCUCAUAGGAGAAUGGAGCAUUCCGACGCCGCCGCGAAGCUUCGCUCCGAGUUUCUGCAGGUCCUCCGCAGCCGCCGCACUGCCGAAGGUCGUGUCUCGCUCUGUUCGCUCUGUGUGUGUGUUUUAUUUUUUGAAAAUCGUUGAAUUAUGGCGUGAUAUUGUCUCGGUUGAGUACAAGUGUUGAAGCGGAUGGUAAAGUAAUGGUGUUUGAUGAGGAUCGCCUCAACAUUUCGAUUGACAUUCAUCUGGAAUUUUCAAUGAGU